This 6277-nucleotide long non-coding RNA is filed under the name Brassica napus (rape). Its description in RNAcentral is "long non-coding RNA (BNAP_LNC010448)". Lineage: Eukaryota; Viridiplantae; Streptophyta; Magnoliopsida; Brassicales; Brassicaceae. The record is from RNAcentral.
ACUCCUUUUCCUAGUUGUAAAGUGAUAUUUUCGCUUAAAAUAAAACGAGACACGAUUGAUCGAUCAUAUGCUUUGCCUUCUUGUUAUAUUUGUGAUGGGAAAAAUAUAGGCUUUCCAGGCCCGCAUACCAAGUCCAGCAAGGAGUUGAAGAUGUUAUUUCUUUUUUGUGUAAUGUGUCGGCUGAUUUUAUAAAGAGAUAUGGGAUUAGGAAAUUAUAUCAAAUAUACAAAUCAGAGAUAAAGAGAAAAGGAAAAUAUACAAAAGCUAAUGGGAUUAGGAAAGGCAAUAGCUUUUGGUAUAAAUAUAAGACGUCUAGACCUGAUUUGAGCAUCCGAUUGAAAAGAGAGAGAGAGAGAGAUCAAGAGAAUUAGCAAUUUAAAAAGAGUGUUUUAUUGCUUCGUCUUGUGACCUUUAUCGCAUAAAGUUGGUUUAAAUCCUCUAACAAUUUGUUUUUUUUUUCUCUUCCUAUCUCGUUCAUAAACUGCAACAUAAUGUUGAAAACACUUAGCAAAAAAAAAAAUGUUGAAAACAGAAAAGUCAUGGGUCGUAUCAGAUUCUACCAUUACUAGCAAGUUUGGACAUCGUCCUCCUUCUACCUAUUCCAUGAAGAUCCAAAGCCUCUCUCAACUCAAGACUCUCUUCUCCGGUACUGACGGAUACAAAUCCCGUACCUUCUCUUCCGGCAAAUAUAACUGGAAGUUGGUUGUAUAUCCCAAAGGAAACGAAAAAGACAACGGGACAGGGUUUGUCUCAAUGUACGUUGAAUUAGAUAGCGAAAGCGCCUCGUCCACUAUCUUGGCAUAUCUCACCUUUUUCAUCUACAACAAGAAAGAAAACAAAUACUUUACUAUUCAAGACGAUGAAGAGAAGCAGUUCAAUGCAUUAAGACCGGUGCAUGGGUUUCCGCAAGUACUUCCGCUUGAUACGUUCAACGAUCCUAAAAACGGAUACGUAUUUGAUGGAGAUGAUCAGUGUGAGUUUGGCGUUGAUGUGAUGGUUCCACUUACCAAUUGGGAAGUUGUCUCCAAUACCCAGGAAUACUCCAAUACAAAAUUCUGUUGGACGCUCGAAAACUUCUCUGAGUUGAAAGAGCAUUGCUACGUAUCAAGCAAGAUCUUAGUGGGAGGAAGGAAUUGGGUGCUUAAGCUGUAUCCUAAAGGCCUAAACACUAUAUAUUCCGCAUGGUUGUCCCUCUUUCUGCAUAUAGCCGAUGAUGAAACAGUGAAGACAGGUGAGGAGACUUACGUGCAGUGUGAUAUGCGAAUUCUCGACCCGUUUGGAUGCGACCACUUGACUAAAAAGAUUAAUCAAAGGUUCGGCAACUCCAUCCCAACUUGGGGCUGGCAUAAAUUUGUGUCGUUGGCUAAUCUUGAGAAGGUUUACUUGGACAAUCUAGGUUCUUUGGAAGUAGAGAUACAUUUUAAAGUUGUUUCGUCCACCAAAUAUUCAUGAAGAUCUAGUUGUUUAUUCAGAUUCUGGGGUUUUUAUAUUUAUUGUUUAGAAGAUUAGUUACUACCUAUCGCUAUUUAGCUUUGUUUUAAAAUUUGUGAUGAGUCUAUUAAAUAUAAAAGAUCUUUUUACAUUUUUGUUAUUUUAUAUAUAAAAAACUACAUAUAUUUCAAAAAAAUCCAUAUCAAAUUCAAACCGAACUGAUAAACAUAGUCCGUAAGUAUCAAAAAAAAGAACAAAGAAAACAGAAGAGGAAAUCAAAACUAGUAAAGUCAGACGUUCCUUUCCUUCUUUCAUACAUUCAUGACACUUUGAUUAUUAUUCGAUGAAUCAAUUUAAGUCAAUCUUAUUCUUAUCAAACAAUUAAAAAAAGUUUAAAAGUAGUUUCAUUUGGAAAUUUUGCACGCAUAUUAAAAAAUUAUCUAAAAACUCCAUUUUAUUUUUUGUUCACACAUUAAAUAAUUUUUUUAAUAAAACAUUAAAAUAAUAAAGAUAAAAAUGAAACAAAAAUAAAAUUUUAAAACGACACUCUUUGCUAAACGGAAGAAAUCUAUAUAAUAAUAAAGUAGAAGAGAAACUCUCCAUAAUGCGUCACGUCAUCUCUUCUACCUCCAUUUUGCGACAAGUGUCGAGCAGAGAGAGAGCUUUUUUUUUUUUUGCUUCUAAUUCAUGGAGUUUUUUAUGUGUUUCUAACUCGUGGAGGAGUAGUCGGACUUUCUGUUUAUUCAUUGAGCUUUAAUACUUUCAUUUUUCUGGCCCUCCUGGUGUUUAGGUUUAUGCUCUUCUCCAGUUUGACGCCGUAACUCAUUGUUAGCCAUCUUUUCUAAUGAGAAUUCCUGUAACGUUUCUCCCUUUCUUAAAUUAUUGCUUUAAUUCAAUCAUUAAACUCCACCCACCACUCUUCCUACUCCGUCUCAUUUAUUCAGAUUUACGUUUGUAACAUAUAGAAGCUCGACCUAUAAAAAAGUGUCCUCGAUGUGAUGAAGACCUACACUGUUCUAAUCUCUUAUAGCCAAACCAUCUUUAAAAUAGGGCAAAAGCCAAUCACCCAAAACCUUUCAUGACUUGCUAUUAUAUUCGCAUCACUUUUUUUUCUUCUUCCGCCAGAAUUAACUCCAAUCCUCCACUCCUCGGCAAUUAAAUAGUUUUUUCUUAAUAACGACAUCAGUCAUAGCAGAUUACCAAUCGAUGAAUUCCUCAUCCUUCUAGCUUCUUUGUGUUCCUCACCAAUUUUUUACACUACUAUAUUUAUGAACACGAAGACAAGUCUCUGCACAUCUUUCGUCUCACGAUCUUCUUCUAUUAUCGCAAUCUUCUAUUAUAACUAGAGAGGGCAGUGGAGAUAUAAAAAAUAAGCAAUAGUUUUUUUCUCUAAAAAAUACAUUAUAGAACUUGAAUUUGGUGGAAAAGUUGAUUAAAAAUAAAAAUUUAUUGAAAUUAUAACAUGUUCUGACCCAAAAUAUAAAACAACAAAAAAACUAAAUUUUUUAAUAAGAACGAGAAAAACAAAAUCCAUUCACUAUAUUCUUUUUUGACGUUACAUCAAAACCAACCAAUGGAAAUAAAAAAAAAAUAUCAUGGAUAGUUUUUUCUUUUGUGGUUACUAAGUUCAAAUUGAAAAUAUUCACGUGGUAACUGAAAAAAAAACACAGCAAUAAUUAUUACAUAAUCAAAUCACAAUUUUUUAAUAAAGUAAUAAAUUCUAAUAAAUAUAUUUCUAUUAGGAAAGUAAAAUAUUGUUUUUCUCAUGGAAACACACCACAAGUAAAGAAUCACAAAUUGACACAUCAUCAAAAAAUCUAAAUAUUAUAAAAUUUACCAUAUUUAGAAAUUUAACAGAAAACAUGAAUUUUAUCUUCUCCAUUAAUUUUAUUAUUGUACCUUUGAGUUUAACAUUUCUUCAAUUCUAAACUUUAACAGAGUAUUUACUAUGUUACAUGAAAGAAACCUUUUCUCUCUUCAUUUGGUAUAUGAUGCUAUAAAACUCUUUUAUCUUAAAUGAUUAUAAAGUUAUCUCAUGGCAUUCACAAAAUUGUAGUACGAAAGUUAAAACAUGUUUUUAUUAAUCCUAAACAUUAUGUUAAAUUUAAUUAAACCAACGAUAAAGCUAAUAAUAGUUCUUAAGAAAUAUGUUUGCUUUAUAAAAUUGAAAAAUCCAAACCAACUUUUUCAUAAAUAAUGCAAUGGCUUUCCAAAAAUAUAAGUGGACCAAAUAAUUUACUAAAUUUUACGCACAAUCAACGUGUUUAUAGCUAUCAGAGGAACAAGUCACUAUUACACACAUAUGUCGAAAACAUUAAUAAGUUCUACUAAGGGGCUGUUUGUUUCACCAUUUGUCAUCUCCAUCUAGAUGAUUCAUUUGCAUGAUCAAUUUAGAUGAUCCAUUCAGAUUUUUGUGACUGUUUGUUUGUCCAUCCAAAUAGCUCAUCUAGAUGAAUCAUCUAAAUGAAUCUUAUGUUUGUUUCUUUAUUUUCAUUUCCAUCUAAAUGAGUUUAGUAAACAAAUUACCAAAACACCCAUGUGUUGAUUUAACAAUAUAUUUGAUAUUAAUUUUAACUAUAUUAUAUUUAAUUAUUUAAUCUAAUAUAUUUACAUUAGAAUUAUUUCAAAAUUAACGAGUUUUUUGCGGUUUUGGGGGGUCAUUCAGAUAUUUUUUUUAUAACGGUUAUGAUCUAUUUUUUCGGUUCGGGGGUUAUGGUUCGGUUUUCGGUUUGCGGUAAAACGUCCCUGGACUAAAGCUAUGCAUGAGAUGAUUUGUUGUUUGGAUUUAAUUAUAGGUGGGGAAAACGGGUUUUUUCAGUUUUGGCAGGAAAACAAGAUUUUGUGAUUUUGGCGGUAAAACGCGUUUUUGCGGUUUUGGCGGGAAAACGAGAUUUUCGGUUUUGGCGAAAAAACGGGUUUUUCGAUUUUGGCCGGAAAACAAGAUUUUGCGAUUUUGGCGGGAAAACCCGUUUUUGCGGUUUUGGCGGAAAACGAGAUUUUCGGUUUUGGCGGAAAAACGGAAUUUUUCGAUUUUGGCCGGAAAACGAGAUUUUGCGAUUUGACGGGAAAACGCGUUUUUGCAGUUUUGGCGGGAAAAUGAAAUUUUUCGAUUUUGGCCGGAAAACGAGAUUUUGCGAUUUUGUUGGGAAAACACAUUUUGCAGUUUUUGCGGAAAAAUGAGAUUUUCGGUUUUGGUGGAAAAACACGUUUUUUUUUUGUUUUGGCAGGUAAAAAUUUCGGUUUUGACGAGAAAAGAAGAUUUUUCAUUUUGACGGAAAAACGAUAUUUUGCAAUUUUGACGGGACAACGCGUUUUGCGAUUUUUGCGAGAAAACACGGUUUUGGGGUUUUGGCGUGAAAACAUGUUUUUGUGAUUUUCGCAUGAAAACACGUUUUUCCAAUUUUGAUGGGAAAAUGCGUUUUGGGGUUUUGGCGUGAAAACAUGUUUUUGUGAUUUUCGCAUGAAAACACGUUUUUCCAAUUUUGAUGGGAAAAUGCGUUUUGGGGUUUUGACGUGAAAAAUUUGUUUUUAGGUUUUCGCGGGAAAACGCGUUUUUGUGGUUUUGUCAGUUUUCGUGUGUGACAAAAUGGUAUUAUGUUUAGGUUUGUAAUUUUUGAAUUACAUUAAGGGCAUAAUAGACAUUAUACCAUUUUGAAUGAACCAUCUCCAUUCAAAUGAUCCAAAUUGGUUCAGCUAGAUGGACUUUAAAAUUAAGCCUAAAUUUCUGAAAGUCAUUCGGAUGAUCCAUCUGAAUGAAUUGCACUUUUAGUGCCUAAACAAACAAAACUCUCAGCUUCAUCCAAAUAGCUCGCUCAUCCGGAUGGAGAAACAAACAGGGCCUAAACUAGCCAGAGAAAACUCACCACACCAUUUUAGAACCAUUUUAAAACCUGAUAAUCAAAAUGUAAAGUGAAAAUAUCACCACAAACAAUUUCAAACACAUACGACUAGUAUCUAAUAAUAUUAUGGAUGCAUUUAUUGAAGUAUUAAAUUUACGAAAAACUCAUAUCUGUUUUUUUUUCUUAGCACGUCGAGGUCACGUGUUCGAACUUUUUUGGGGGACUUUUUCUUCUAAAAAGUUUGUUAAGCUAAGCAAUGGGCCCAAACACUCGGUGUGAAAUAAAAUAGUAUGCGGGCAGCAGAUGAUGAUGAUGAUGUGUCAGAGUAGUACUAGACCGAGAUGAAGAGAACCAAAAAAGUGUCUAGAUAUCCUGUUUUAUUUUAUAUAAAAAUGUUAAAUGAAGGUUGGUAAUGUAUGAAUGCAAAAUGCUUUGCUAGAGAAUGGUGAUGGUUUGUCAUGGCAGUACACACACACUUGACACGUCAUUCCUUACUUGUGAUGUUCCUCAUAGUCUUGUUCAUCAGACUACAUUGUGAAGUUUCUACUCAAAACAGGAACUCCUUUUCCUAGUUGUAAAGUGAUAUUUUCGCUUAAAAUAAAACGAGACACGAUUGAUCGAUCAUAUGCUUUGCCUUCUUGUUAUAUUUGUGAUGGGAAAAAUAUAGGCUUUCCAGGCCCGCAUACCAAGUCCAGCAAGGAGUUGAAGAUGUUAUUUCUUUUUUGUGUAAUGUGUCGGCUGAUUUUAUAAAGAGAUAUGGGAUUAGGAAAUUAUAUCAAAUAUACAAAUCAGAGAUAAAGAGAAAAGGAAAAUAUACAAAAGCUAAUGGGAUUAGGAAAGGCAAUAGCUUUUGGUAUAAAUAUAAGACGUCUAGACCUGAUUUGAGCAUCCGAUUGAAAAGAGAGAGAGAGAGAGAUCAAGAGAAUUAGCAAUUUAAAAAGAGUGUUUUAUUGCUUCGUCUUGUGACCUUUAUCGCAUAAAGUUGGUUUAAAUCCUCUAACAAUUUG